RNAcentral lists this ribosomal RNA (816 nucleotides) under uncultured bacterium. RNAcentral describes it as "bacterial SSU rRNA". It matches the Rfam family "Bacterial small subunit ribosomal RNA", at positions 19 to 837 of the family's 1533-position model. The record is from RNAcentral.
CUGGCUCAGAUUGAACGCUGGCGGCAUGCUUUACACAUGCAAGUCGAACGGGGUGGAGGGGCAACUCUCCAUUCAGUGGCGAACGGGUGAGUAAUGCAUCGGAACGUGUCCCGUAGUGGGGGAUAACCCGGCGAAAGCCGGACUAAUACCGCAUAUGCUCUACGGAGGAAAGUGGGGGAUCCGCAAGGACCUCACGCUAUGGGAGCGGCCGAUGUCCGAUUAGCUUGUUGGUGGGGUAAUGGCCUACCAAGGCAACGAUCGGUAGCUGGUCUGAGAGGAUGAUCAGCCACACUGGGACUGAGACACGGCCCAGACUCCUACGGGAGGCAGCAGUGGGGAAUUUUGGACAAUGGGGGCAACCCUGAUCCAGCCAUGCCGCGUGCGGGAAGAAGGCCUUCGGGUUGUAAACCGCUUUUAGUCGGGAAGAAAAGGCACAGGUGAAUACCCUGUGUUUUUGACGGUACCGGCGGAAUAAGCACCGGCUAACUACGUGCCAGCAGCCGCGGUAAUACGUAGGGUGCGAGCGUUAAUCGGAAUUACUGGGCGUAAAGCGUGCGCAGGCGGUUCGCUGUGUCCGAUGUGAAAGCCCCGGGCUUAACCUGGGAAUGGCAUUGGAAACUGGCGGGCUUGAGUGUGGCAGAAGGGGGGUGGAAUUCCGCGUGUAGCAGUGAAAUGCGUAGAGAUGCGGAGGAACACGAUGGCGAAGCAGCCCCCUGGGCUACACUGACGCUCAGCACGAAAGCGUGGGGAGCAAACAGAUAGAUACCCUGGUAGUCCACGCCCUAAACAUGUCACUGGGUGUUCGGGAGCGAUUCU